AUACGUAGGGGGCGAGCGUUAUCCGGAUUUAUUGGGUUUAAAGGGUGCGUAGGCUGUUCGGAAAGUCAGGGGUGAAAGCCCGGCGCCUAACGCCGGAACUGCCUUUGAUACUUCCGAGCUGGAAUACGGAUGCCGUGGGAGGAAUGAGUAGUGUAGCGGUGAAAUGCAUAGAUAUUACUCAGAACACCGAUUGCGAAGGCAUCUCACGAAUCCGUCAUUGACGCUGAGGCACGAAAGCGUGGGGAUCAAACAGGAUUAGAUACCCUGGUAGUCCACGCAGUAAACGAUGAUGACUAACCGUCGGCGAUACACAGUCGGUGGCCAAGCGAAAGCGAUAAGUGCCCCACCUGGGGAGUACGAUCGCAAGGCUGAAACUCAAAUGAAUUGACGGGG
RNAcentral lists this ribosomal RNA (393 nucleotides) under uncultured bacterium. Its description in RNAcentral is "partial 16S ribosomal RNA". It matches the Rfam family "Bacterial small subunit ribosomal RNA", at positions 523 to 918 of the family's 1533-position model. The record is from RNAcentral.